CUAAGCAGACUAAUCCUGAUGGAAUGGAACAUCUUCCUUCUUUCAUCGUUCCACUCCUCACAACAUUAAAGGACAAUGUAAUGCUCAUCAAGACCUGUAAGAUGAAGAGGAGGGGACGGAGAAAAAAAAAAAUGGAGACAGAUAAACGGUGAAAAGGCGAUUAAAAACUAUGCGAAAGGAGAUUUGGCUCAGAAAGAAUGUCACUUCCAGGAUGUAAAUUAUUUCCUGCUGAGUCUCCACAAGUGACCGUGAAAACAGAUUUCCGCACUCCUUGACUUCUCAAUGUUCGAUUGUGACCUGGAAAUAAAUCUCGGUGCGUGAUCUUGAAGGAUGUCUCAGUUUCUGGAAAUGCACACUGACGGCCAGGGAUCAAGGACUGAGAUGGUUGGAUGGAGGAGCAACAACCAAGAAGGCAAAGAUGAAACUAUAGUCAAUGCUUUGUGGAAGUCCUGCAAGGAAACUGGACUGUAGAGGGACAGCAAAGCAGCCAACAGGUACUCAGCAUCUCUGGGAACUCCUUCAAGACUGUUGGAAAACCACUGUCAGAGAUGUUCAGCACCUGCUGGCUGCUCUGCCUUCCCUCUGCUGUUCAACCCAUCCAAAAACCACUUCACUUGGGUUUAACUCAGGUGAUUGUGGA
This is a long non-coding RNA of Sphaeramia orbicularis (orbiculate cardinalfish), 640 nucleotides long. RefSeq lists it as uncharacterized. The transcript is spliced from 3 exons. The record is from RefSeq and is a predicted model, not a curated record. Lineage: Eukaryota; Metazoa; Chordata; Actinopteri; Kurtiformes; Apogonidae.